UUUCCGUAGGUGAACCUGCGGAAGGAUCAUUACUUUUCAGGACAAACGGGGGUCUGUAGCUUGCCGCAGCCCUUGCCUGCAUCCGUGUUUUUUGCGUACUUAUUGUUUCCUCGGUAGGCUUGCCUGCCGGUUGGACAACCACAAACUCUUUUGCAAUUGCAGUCAGCGUCUGAAUAAACUUAAUAGUUACAACUUUCAACAACGGAUCUCUUGGUUCUGGCAUCGAUGAAGAACGCAGC
RNAcentral lists this unclassified non-coding RNA (239 nucleotides) under uncultured fungus. RNAcentral describes it as "sequence contains ITS1, 5.8S rRNA gene". The stretch from base 191 to 239 matches the Rfam family "5.8S ribosomal RNA", at positions 1 to 49 of the family's 154-position model. The record is from RNAcentral. Lineage: Eukaryota; Fungi.